GAUCAUGGCUAAGGAUGAACGCUAGCUACAGGCUUAACACAUGCAAGUCGAGGGGCGAGCAUGGUCUUAGCUUGCUAAGGCCGAUGGCGACCGGCGCACGGGUGAGUAACACGUAUCCAACCUGCCGUCUACUCUUGACAGCCUUCUGAAAGGAAGAUUAAUACAAGAUGGCAUCAUGAGUUCGCAUGUUCACNUGAUUAAAGGUAUUCCGGUAGACGAUGGGG
RNAcentral lists this ribosomal RNA (224 nucleotides) under uncultured bacterium. RNAcentral's name for it is "partial 16S ribosomal RNA". It matches the Rfam family "Bacterial small subunit ribosomal RNA", at positions 15 to 230 of the family's 1533-position model. The record is from RNAcentral.